UGCAGUCGGACGGGAUCCAUCGGAGAGCUUGCUCGAAGAUGGUGAGAGUGGCGCACGGGUGCGUAACGCGUGAGCAACCUACCUCUAUCAGGGGGAUAGCCUCUCGAAAGAGAGAUUAACACCGCAUAACAUCAACAGUUCGCAUGUUCGGUUGAUUAAAUAUUUAUAGGAUAGAGAUGGGCUCGCGUGACAUUAUCUAGUUGGUAGGGUAACGGCCUACCAAGGCGACGAUGUCUAGGGGCUCUGAGAGGAGAAUCCCCCACACUGGUACUGAGACACGGACCAGACUCCUACGGGAGGCAGCAGUAAGGAAUAUUGGUCAAUGGGCGGAAGCCUGAACCAGCCAUGCCGCGUGCAGGAUGACUGCCCUAUGGGUUGUAAACUGCUUUUGUCCAGGAAUAAACCUAAAUACGUGUAUUUAGCUGAAUGUACUGGAAGAAUAAGGAUCGGCUAACUCCGUGCCAGCAGCCGCGGUAAUACGGAGGAUCCGAGCGUUAUCCGGAUUUAUUGGGUUUAAAGGGUGCGUAGGCGGCCUAUUAAGUCAGGGGUGAAAUACGGUGGCUCAACCAUCGCAGUGCCUUUGAUACUGAUGGGCUUGAAUCCAUUUGAAGUGGGCGGAAUAAUACAAGUAGCGGUGAAAUGCAUAGAUAUGUCUUAGAACUCCGAUUGCGAAGGCAGCUCACUAAGCUGGUAUUGACGCUGAUGCACGAAAGCGUGGGGAUCGAACAGGAUUAUAUACCCUGGUAGUCCACGCCCUAAACGAUGAUAACUCGAUGUUGGCGAUAGACAGCCAGCGUCCCAGCGAAAGCGUUAAGUUAUCCACCUGGGGAGUACGCCCGCAAGGGUGAAACUCAAAGGAAUUGACGGGGGCCCGCACAA
RNAcentral lists this ribosomal RNA (879 nucleotides) under Sphingobacterium sp. RNAcentral describes it as "bacterial SSU rRNA". It matches the Rfam family "Bacterial small subunit ribosomal RNA", at positions 56 to 928 of the family's 1533-position model. The record is from RNAcentral. Lineage: Bacteria; Pseudomonadati; Bacteroidota; Sphingobacteriia; Sphingobacteriales; Sphingobacteriaceae.